GGGUUGUGAGGUUAAGCGACUAAGCGUACACGGUGGAUGCCCUGGCAGUCAGAGGCGAUGAAGGACGUGCUAAUCUGCGAUAAGCGUCGGUGAGGUGAUAUGAACCGUUAUAACCGGCGAUUUCCGAAUGGGGAAACCCAGUGUGUUUCGACACACUAUCAUUAACUGAAUCCAUAGGUUAAUGAGGCGAACCGGGGGAACUGAAACAUCUAAGUACCCCGAGGAAAAGAAAUCAACCGAGAUUCCCCCAGUAGCGGCGAGCGAACGGGGAGGAGCCCAGAGCCUGAAUCAGUGUGUGUGUUAGUGGAAGCGUCUGGAAAGGCGCGCGAUACAGGGUGACAGCCCCGUACACAAAAAUGCACAUAUUGUGAGCUCGAUGAGUAGGGCGGGACACGUGGUAUCCUGUCUGAAUAUGGGGGGACCAUCCUCCAAGGCUAAAUACUCCUGACUGACCGAUAGUGAACCAGUACC
RNAcentral lists this ribosomal RNA (471 nucleotides) under Escherichia coli. RNAcentral's name for it is "bacterial LSU rRNA". It matches the Rfam family "Bacterial large subunit ribosomal RNA", at positions 1 to 502 of the family's 2925-position model. The record is from RNAcentral. Lineage: Bacteria; Pseudomonadati; Pseudomonadota; Gammaproteobacteria; Enterobacterales; Enterobacteriaceae.